GAUGAAGAACGCAGCGAAAUGCGAUACGUAAUGUGAAUUGCAGAAUUCAGUGAAUCAUCGAGUCUUUGAACGCACAUUGCGCCCCCUGUUAUUCCGGGGGGCAUGCCUGUCCGAGCGUCAUUGCUGCCCUCAAGCACGGCUUGUGUGUUGGGCCUCCGUCCUCCUCCCGGGGGACGGGCCCGAAAGGCAGCGGCGGCACCGCGUCCGGUCCUCGAGCGUAUGGGGCUUCGUCACCCGCUCUUGUAGGCCCGGCCGGCGCUUGCCGACACAUCAAUCUUUUUUCCAGGUUGACCUCGGAUCAGGUAGGGAUACCCGCUGAACUUAAGAAUAUCAAUAAGCGGAGGA
This 345-nucleotide unclassified non-coding RNA is filed under the name soil metagenome. RNAcentral's name for it is "partial contains 5.8S ribosomal RNA, internal transcribed spacer 2, and large subunit ribosomal RNA". The stretch from base 1 to 120 matches the Rfam family "5.8S ribosomal RNA", at positions 35 to 154 of the family's 154-position model. The record is from RNAcentral.